This 434-nucleotide ribosomal RNA is filed under the name uncultured bacterium. RNAcentral's name for it is "bacterial SSU rRNA". It matches the Rfam family "Bacterial small subunit ribosomal RNA", at positions 958 to 1392 of the family's 1533-position model. The record is from RNAcentral.
AACGCGAAGAACCUUACCAAGGCUUGACAUCGCCGGAAAUCUCGUAGAGAUACGGGGUCCUUUUUGGGCCGGUGACAGGUGGUGCAUGGCUGUCGUCAGCUCGUGUCGUGAGAUGUUGGGUUAAGUCCCGCAACGAGCGCAACCCUCGUUCCAUGUUGCCAGCACGUAGUGGUGGGGACUCAUGGGAGACCGCCGGGGUCAACUCGGAGGAAGGUGGGGAUGACGUCAAGUCAUCAUGCCCCUUAUGUCUUGGGCUGCAAACAUGCUACAAUGGCCGGUACAGAGGGCUGCGAUACCGUGAGGUGGAGCGAAUCCCGUAAAGCCGGUCUCAGUUCGGAUCGAAGUCUGCAACUCUACUUCGUGAAGUCGGAGUCGCUAGUAAUCGCAGAUCAGCAACGCUGCGGUGAAUACGUUCCCGGGCCUUGUACACACCG